CAGCAGCCGCGGGAAUACGAACCGUGCGAACGUUAUUCGGAAUCACUGGGCUUAAAGCGCGUGUAGGCGGGCCGUCACGUCGGCUGCUGAAAUCCCCCGGCUCAACCGGGGAAGUGGCACCGAUACGAGCGGCCUUGAGGGGGGUAGGGGGGUCUGGAACUUCCGGUGGAGCGGUGAAAUGCGUUGAGAUCGGAAGGAACGCCCGUGGCGAAAGCGAGGCCCUGGACCCUUUCUGACGCUGAGACGCGAAAGCCAGGGGAGCGAACGGGAUUAGAUACCCCUGUAGUCCCUGUCUCUUAUA
Molecule: ribosomal RNA, 301 nt
Filed under: uncultured bacterium
Lineage: Bacteria
Description: partial 16S ribosomal RNA
Rfam family: Bacterial small subunit ribosomal RNA
Source: RNAcentral